This 525-nucleotide long non-coding RNA is filed under the name Helianthus annuus (common sunflower). Its description in RNAcentral is "sRNA HanXRQr2_Chr06g0268161". The record is from RNAcentral. Lineage: Eukaryota; Viridiplantae; Streptophyta; Magnoliopsida; Asterales; Asteraceae.
AUGACGCCCCAUAUUCCAGAUCUGAAGCAUUCAACUCACAACUUGACCCUUGCCUCCACGACUUUCGUAACCGAUUCAGUAAUUACCCAUGUAUCAUAAAGUCGAUCAUCUAUAAUAACCUGUUUACUCCAUCAUUUUUCAUCUUCACAUCCUUUCAUCACACUCCACCCUCCCCCUCGUUCUCUCUCCAUUCGCCACCGGAGCCGGACCGGAGAGGAACUCGACGCGGCAUCAUUUUGUUCACCAGGCACGUCGUAUUGAUUCGAGAUUCACCGGGUUCUUGAAGUAAACCGACUCGCCGGAGAACCCAAAGUCGCCGGAACCCAUUGGAACACGUCGGAGCCGCCGGAGAUCGGAGAACAAACCGGAGAAUCCUGUCGCCGCGUUUGGUUGAUAGCCACGUUGUUGAAGAAACAAGUUUAGGGUGGACUAGAAACUCACCUACAAAAUAAACCAUGUUUGAAUAACUGUUUCUUGUUUGAUUGAUUUGAACGAUGUAUGAAAUUUUAUGUUAUGAUGCUUUGA